GUUUUCUAAAUUUGGCUUUUGCCCUUUGCUAACUUAUGUAUUCAACAACUAGAUUUAAAAAAAAUGUUUUUACAGUGGUGUACUUAAGGAUGCUAUAGGUACAAAGUUUGAGCACUUAAAUACAGUGGUUAUGCAUAUACAGAAAUACAAGAAAGGCAAGUAAUGGCUAAUAUUAAAAUGAUUAUAAUGCAUACCUAUUCCUUUGCAAGUCUUGCAAAUUGUGGAAUAUUCAGGAAGGGUAAGAACGGGGAGAGUAUACAAAGACAACAGGAAGAAAGCGAUGAGCAAAAAAUUCCAUAUGCGCGGAAGAAAAUUUGAAGAGGAGCUUAUUUAUGAGGUUCUGAAUUUCACUUAUACAAACACAUCUAAAAAUGUCUCCAUCUCAAGUGAAUUAAAUGACAAAGAAAAUGGUCUGUCUAUUACAUUUGAUUCAUCCAUAAUGAAUGCCAACAUGGUCAAUUCUAGACACCAGGCCAAUAAAGUAAUAAGUAUGGACAGAUUAAGGCAGACACUGCUAUUUCCCCAACCCAGCACAAUAAAAGUUAUACUAUCCCCCUUAGGGUGCCUGUCAGACUGAGAGAGCUGACUCUGAAGAGUUCCCUGCCCAUUUCUAUAACAAUGAUUCAUCAUUCUUGCCACAACAGAUUGGAUCGGUGUUGGACAUCUGACUACAGGUCUUACGUGUGCUAAGGAAAAGCUGCUUCUCAGUUCUCACUUCAGCUGGCAAAGCAAAACUUCAGUAGAUACAGUUACUGCAGCAAAGAAGGAGCCACCUGCUUUCAUUUGAAGUUUGCUUUCAUAGGUGUGAGGGCAGCCUGCUACCUCAUGUCAGCAUCCAUUAUAAGGCACCAUGCAAAGUGACAUGACACAGAAUGACAGCUGCAGCCACCUCAACAUGGCAUCCGUGAAGCUGAUAUCGACGAGGCUGCCGUUACAUGUGCUCCACAUCCUAGCUGAGAAAAAAUGGAGAAAUGCUCAGAAACUAUGAAUGAAUGCAGAAAAACACCCUAACAGAAACACACAACUGAGUUGGCUUUACCAUUAAGGAUUUCAUUAAGAUCAAAGGAACCUGUUUCAUCCAUCUUAAACCUUCACCUGGCGAGGACGACAUCAUAAUCCUGAAGCUCUGCUGGAAUUCUAGCUUCCGAGGUUUGGCUGAGGAAUGCCGUUGGAGUCCUCCUCUCUCUGGAACAAAGGUGCUGCCAUAUUCCUGGCGAUAGCCGUGGUGGAAUCAGAUGGAGAAUAAACCAUUUUCCUGGAAACAAUUCUACUUUGACUAAAUGAGAAACAAAACAUAAUUUUUCAUAUUAUUUCAACAGAAUAUUGCGUGCAAAAACUUCUAGUCAUUUUUAAUAGGCUUAGUGGAGUUAGCAAUUCUCUAAGUAAAACUUACAAAAGGACAUCUCUUUGAGGCAGAGAUUGGAGGCUCUGAAGAAAGGGCACUGGUGGGUAAGGGUUGAAAUUGGAAUCAUUACUGGCCCGUUUCUUUCUCCACUGUACCAGGUGAUCUGGAGCAAGUUCAAGGGCAUUGACAUAGGGUGGAAAACAAAGAGGGUCAAACUUUUAGGGGCAGCAAACGGAGGGGCAAGGAACACACAAAGGAGAAAAACCCAAAGCCAUAGCUGUGCAAUAGAAGCCAAUUUACUUGAGGUGCUACUACAAAUGUUCAUUUUUAAGGUGAGUGGAGAGACUAGAAACUACCUUGGCAUUACAUAGCAAGGGCAUUUGGGGGGAUUUCUGUAUAAAUUUUACUAAAAUGUAAAUGGUGCAAAGAAUUUCCAUCUUAAGCCACUUGUAUUAACAAGUAUUUCAAGUUUUGGGUUUACUAAAUUUAAAAAACAUUAGAGAUACAAAUUAAUUAAUAAAAGGAUGAUUUUCUUAUUUUGGGAAAUUGAAGAAUGCCAUUUUCUGCACCUAGCAUCAGACCGAGGAUAUGAGGUGAGUCUGCCUAUGUGAAUCGCCUUGCCUGUUUUCAUUAAUGACCGUGUCCUUUGUUAAUAUUCUUACGAUGAAAUGUAUUCAGAAAUAUCAUUUCAUUUUCUGAAAGUAAAAACUUAGUCAAAAAACAGAGCCAAAUGAGACACAGUGAUGGUGAACCAUUAAUCUCUUCCAAACGGGCUCUUUAAACUCUAAUAAUAAAAAGUAUCACCUGGCUUCGCAUUUCCCCUUUGCAUAUGCAUACAUUUUGAAUGCUUUUCAGUUAUCUUGUCUAUUGUUGUUUACGUGCAUUUUAAAAUCUAUGGUGAAUAUGUGUUCUCUCUGAGACUUGUUUAUGGAAUCCUCAAGAAAAGAGUGGAAGAAGCUGUUUAUUGAAAUCUCUUGUCUCACACUUGGCACCAGGACAUGCCAGGUUUAAAACAAUGUUUGCCUGAAGGUAUCCUUUUCUGAUCCAGCAUAGUUACUUACAUGUUGCCUGCUAGGUAUACUUCUCAACUGUUUUAACAUUAAUGUGUUGAUAAUAUUAAUAAUAAUAGAAGAAUUUGCAAUAACAACUGUCAUUUAUUACAGCAAUACAAUUUUUGAAAUAAAUUUUAAAUAGAUCAUUCUAAACACCACAGCCUAUGCAUGUGGAAACUGACCCUAAUAUAGCUUAGCCCUAUUAAGGAUUUUGCAAGGUAGCAUAACCAGUUAGUGGAAUAACUAGUAUAUGUGUCCAAUACUCCAGACUCAUGACCCCAAGCCCUCUGCCGCACGUCUUCUAAUCUUUCUAAAAGUAGCAGCAUUUAAAUUAUUUUUGUCAUUCAGGAAUGCUUAUUAAAUAAAUUUCAAUCACAUAUUUAAUAAAUGUAAAAAAUACCCAAAGCUUGAUUGUCGAAAGUGUUC
This 2823-nucleotide long non-coding RNA is filed under the name Homo sapiens (human). RNAcentral describes it as "HSALNT0206230". Lineage: Eukaryota; Metazoa; Chordata; Mammalia; Primates; Hominidae. The record is from RNAcentral.